AGAAUCAACGCUGGCGGCGUGCCUAACACAUGCAAGUCGCACGAGAAAGUGGAGCAAUCCAUGAGUAAAGUGGCGCACGGGUGAGUAACACGUGAAUUAUCUACCUCCGAGUGGGGAAUAACUGAGAGAAAUCUUAGCUAAUACCGCAUAACACUUACGAGUCAAAGCAGCAAUGCGCUUGGAGAGGAGUUCGCGGCCGAUUAGUUAGUUGGCGGGUAAUGGCCCACAAGACGAUGAUCGGU
Molecule: ribosomal RNA, 242 nt
Filed under: uncultured bacterium
Lineage: Bacteria
Description: partial small subunit ribosomal RNA
Rfam family: Bacterial small subunit ribosomal RNA
Source: RNAcentral